GCCCACCUGAGACUCAAGGACUGGGACACCUGUCCCUCCUCCUCCACCCACGCUGCGGGGAACUGCAUGGCUCCUCCGGGCGGGGACCAUAGCUUUCCGCCUCAACGUACCUGGGGCUCGGCAUGCUGCGUUGAAUUUUGGAGUGGAUGAGGAGUGAGGGUGUGGCAGGGCGGCUGGAGCUGCCCAACUGCUGAAACUGCUGCAGGUGCCACAGCGGCUGGCUCCCUGAAAGCGUCCUCCUGCCUCUGAGACCGUAGCGCAGGAGGGUGCGAGUGCACCUCCGCAAGGCCUGACGCUGCUGAUCCACUUCCUCUCCCCACGAUGGGGACACACUUGGCGACAGUUCCAUCUGGGGUAAAAGACCCACCAAAAGGUCGCUGGCAUGGGCACUCCAGGGACACCAAAGUGGAGUCUGGGAGACCCCUCGGCUUGUGCGGGGAGCAUUCCUCCCCGAAAUGCUCGUCCACUUCUGGUUACAGCAAUCUUUGAGGGCAGGGAGGGUGGCCAGCAGGGGGCAUUGUGGAGCAAGCACGUGGGCCUCGGAUCCAAGCCUGGGUUCAAAUCCGGGCUGUGGGACGUCCUCACCAAGUCUCGAUUUCCUCCCGUAAAUGAGGGAUGCUGGCGCCCCUCUCGCUGUGGGGGAAUAGGGCUUCCAGCACUGCUCCCAGCAGAUCUCAGACCUCAGGACGUGAAGGUUAUUUUAGGGACAAGCUAACCAUGAAGUCUAUUUAGUGUAACAGCAAGAGCUGCUAAAAACGUGCACAGACAUUCCUUGUACAGCCUGAGUAUCCCUUAUCCAAAAUGCUUGGGACCAGAAGUGUUUUGGCGGCCGGGAACAGUGGCUCACGCCUGUAAUCCCAGCACUUUGGGAGGCCGAGGCGGGCGGAUCACGAGGUCAGGGGAUCGAGACCAUCCUGGCUAACACGGUGAAGACCCGUGUCUACUAAAAAAAAAAAAAAAAAAUUAGCUGGGCGCGGUGGCGGGCGCCUGUAGUCCCAGCUACUCUGGAGGCUGAGGCAGUAGAAUGGCGUGAACCCGGGAGGCGGAGCUUGCAGUGAGUCAAGAUCGUGCCACUGCACUCCAGCCUGGGCGACAGAGCGAGACUCUGUCUCAAAAAAAAAAGCUUUGGCUUUUUUUGGGGAAUAUUUGUACCAUAGUUAGCAGGUGAGCCUCCCAAAUUCCCACAUCCGAAAUCUGAAGUGUUCCAGUGAGUAUUUCCUUUUGUGCGGCAUGUCAGCUGCUCAAAAGUUUUGAAUUGGGGGUGUUUGGAUUUGGGAUACUUAGCCCGUAGUGCUGAGGAGAAAAUUUCUGUCUCUUCUAUUUUUCCUACACUUCCCAAAUUUCUUUAAAGAGUAUGAAUAAAUGCUAUUGGGUAAAAAGAAAUCUGUUUAAAACCUGUGAUCUUUAAAGACUUGACCAGGGUAUCCCACGCUUGAGGCACUGCCUAGGCCCAGUGAGCCAAGCCCAGCCCGAGUCGGCAGCGCGGCCCCGCCCCCGCAAGCCCCGCCCCAUGCCGAGGGCAUUUCCGGGCGCUCUAGGCAGCUCGGAGGACCCGUUCGGAAGACUGGCGGGGGACCCCAGGCGAACCCAAGGGUGGCGGGCUGUGAACUAGCACGGGGCUACGUUGUAGAGAGAGAGAUGGGGCGUCACGGAGGCAGGGGGUGCCAGGCAGGGCGCGGCUGCCAGAGGCCCAGAGGCCGAGCUGGGCCCUGCAGGUCUGAGGUGCAGGACCCGAUUCUGGCCCAAGCAGGGGCGUCCCACGGCUCGAGCUGCCCGUCCAGGUGGUGUCUGAGGAGAGCCUGGGCAGCGGCCUUGCAGAGGGCAGGCCAGCAGCUCCUGCUUUGAGGGCUUGGAGGAGAACAGAUUCCCGAACCAGGCCCAUGAUCAAUGUAUUUGGGUAUUUGAACUAAAUCCAGAUUUCCUGGCUUCCCCUGAGGCCUGCUGAAUCCCUUGGGGUGGGGCCUGGGAAUCUGCGUUUUCCAGUGGGCCUCUCAGGUAGUUGGGUGGUCCCUGAGUGGGUUCCCAUGACCCCAUGAAACAAGACCCUAGAAAACGCAAGGCAAAGCGGCCUGGUGAGUGGCCAAUGGUCUACAGGAACUGGAUGUGAUCAGAGCGAGACCUGCAUCAACUGGGCAGGGGAGGCGUGGAGCCAUACCUGAGGAAGAGACCCAGCCGGAACCCAGGGAAGAGCAGGCUGUGAAAACUGGGCAGAAACUUGCGGCGACUCGGAAGACACUGCCAGGAAACCCUCCCCGGGCCUCCUGUGGGGCUUGUAGCAGCCGCAGGGGUUGGCUCUCACCUUCUAGUCCCAGCCAGGUUGUCUUGGAGUCAGCUAAUGGGCAAGGCCCCUACCUCUCUUAGGAUCUGAGGAUGGGAGGGGCUGCGUUUUUCCAGAGGAUCUGCACGUGUGCAGGCUGAGUGUUGAGACUUGAUUGGUGUCAACUGGCACUGCCUGCCCAUGAUGCACAAAAGCUACUGUAAGAAACAGGGUCCAUGUCUCCAGGGAGCAGGACCCCGUUCUGAGGCCACAACCCCGAGGGCAGUCUCCGCCUGCAGAGUCCUCCCUCUCGCACCGGCUCACCUCGUGGUGAAUCCCUUGGCUACGGUUUGGUGUGAGAAAAGAGAUGGGUGUUUCACUCCCUGCUGCAUCCCUGGUGACGGCCCUGGCAUUUCGGGGCAUGAGAUCUUUGCUUAAAGGUUUUGCGGUGGUCACUGCACAGGGGGUGGGGGUGGGGUCCCUUGGUGCAAUUUAUCCGAUUCUGCUGCGUGGAUGACAUCCACAGUGUUCCUCUCCAGUGGGGAUUAUCUGAGACCUUUCCGCAUGCCCGCACCCACAGUCCGCUCCCUCACGGCAGCAUGAACUCAGGAGGCGGGCGUUCCCACAGUCAUUACAUUUGCAGGGCCUCUCUAUGUCCACUCUGAUGCCUGAGGACCAGCGCUUCCACGAAGGUGUGGCCACGUCCAGUGCUGCUCAUUGGCUUCUCUCCUGCGGGAAUGUUCUGAUCCCGAACGGAGCCUGAGCAUGCGCGAAACCCUUCCCACGUUCACAAGGUGCUUCUCCAGUGUUCCAUUACAUCUCACCUAUGCACACUACAUGCAUACGGUUUCCACCGGCUGUGCGUGUCCCUAGAAGUCACAUUCACGGCGUUUCUCCCUGGGAGGAAUUCUCCCGUGCAUGGCUGCUCUGAGACCAUUUGCACCUGCGGCCACGCGUGGGCUCCUCGAGGCUUACAAACCAGGCUGGACUCCUGAAGCCCUAGCUGCACUUGGCACUCGGCGAGGUUUUUCUACAAAAUCUCAUCUCAGCCAUCUGAGUCCUUCACCAUUUAUCUUAUGAAUCCGCUCGAACGUACAAGGAAGGCCUCUCUGCCCUCCUGCUCCAGGGAGGAGGUUUUGACCCUCAGCUCCACCUCUGCGGCUGGCCCGGUCUCCGCAAACCUUUUUCUGCUUGGCCAGCUGGUGCCAUGCUAGGCUUUCCCACUAGGGGCGCCAGAGAAAGCGCGCGAGGCUGCGGAGGAGAGAGGGGCACACUCUUUCCGGUUUGCUUCCGGUUUUUUCCUCAGGCUUCCGGUCUGUUUGGUGCCCUGGUCGCGUGUCUUCCGAACUCUGCUGCUUCGCCCCGGCAAGAGCACUUCCUUCCGCGGCUGCUAAAACUGGUGCGCGGGUUCCCAACUUCGCAGAAGAGCUUCAUCGGCCCCCCGCUAGAGACCUCAGACCGCAGCCAUCGACGCCUCGCCUCGGGGAUCUGUCCCCACCCUCGGGGCCAGCUCACCAUGAGUCAGGCCCUGUGCUAGGUGCUGGGAUGAAGCAGUGACUGACACAGGCCUGGACCUGUCCUUGGGAAGAGUGCGUCUGUGACACAGAUACUGUGCCAUGUGGCAAAGUAAGCGCGUGGGACAGCAGAGCCUUGUUUGCCAUUAAAGUAAUAUCACAAGUCUGUUAAGGUUGGAGAAUCAAGUGAACAUGCUGAAAAGUUAUGGGGAAUGUAGUCUCAUAGCUGGGGGAGCUGGGGGCCUUGUCAAUUGGUUCCCCCAGUCUGGAGAGCAAUCUGAGAGUAAGUAGUGACACUGUGUGUGCUGAGUGUGUCUGUGGGGGUGUUUUUGACUUGAAUGGAGACAUCAGCUCUUUGUGGGUCUCAAGUCUACUGGCUUUCAAUCAGCUCUUCUGCUUGACAGCUGCAGGUCUUGGGACUGCCCAGCCCCCAUAACCCUGUGAGUGCAUUCCUGAUAAUAACCCUCUUUCUCUUGUCCUCCCCCACCCCACAUCAUUGGUUCUGUUUCUCUGGAGAACCAUAAUACAUCAUUUACUAAUCAGGAAAUAGAUUCAGAGACAUUAAUAACUCAUCCAACCUCACAGUUAACUGUAGAGUUGGGCUUGAAAUUCCAAGGUCGAUUUUCUUAGCCAAUACACCAUGCUACAUAUAUGUAUGUAAAAAUAAAAACGCUUGUGAACUGAAAAGGGUCCAAACUUAAGCUCAUUUUGGUCCUUAAUUGCUAAUCCAUAGGCAUGUUUUGGUCCUUAAUUGCUAAUCCAUAAGCAUGUUUCGGUCCUUAUUUGCUAAUCCAUAGGCCUGCACACCUGCCCCCAAGGCCAUGG
RNAcentral lists this long non-coding RNA (4596 nucleotides) under Homo sapiens (human). RNAcentral describes it as "HSALNT0145327". Lineage: Eukaryota; Metazoa; Chordata; Mammalia; Primates; Hominidae. The record is from RNAcentral.